This 107-nucleotide small nuclear RNA is filed under the name Piliocolobus tephrosceles (Ugandan red Colobus). Lineage: Eukaryota; Metazoa; Chordata; Mammalia; Primates; Cercopithecidae. The record is from RNAcentral.
GUGUUCAUUUCAGCAGCACAUAUGCUAAAAUCGGAAUGCUACAGAGAAGAUCAGCAUGACCCCUGCGCAAGGAGAUCAUGCAAAUUUAUGAAGUGUUUCAUAUUUUA